AUGCUUAGAAUGUUAAACUCAAAUCACUAUGCCCUUAAUGUUUUUUCCCAGACUGGUUUGCUAGCUACCAAAGACCAAGGAUUUAUUGCAGAAAUUGAAUCCUUAAUGCAUGCACUUGAUGGGGAAGAGAUGCAAAUGGAAGAACCAACAAAGAAAAAUGCAGAACUUGAAAAGGCUGUUCAACAAAAAAAUCAAGAGGUAUUCAUGCAUAUUUGGAGCAUUGAGUAA
Molecule: non-coding RNA, 228 nt
Organism: Vicia faba (fava bean)
Lineage: Eukaryota; Viridiplantae; Streptophyta; Magnoliopsida; Fabales; Fabaceae
Source: the annotation of a GenBank genome assembly